GAUGAACGCUGGCGGCGUGCUUAACACAUGCAAGUCGAACGGACGGACUCGAUAGCUUGCUAUUGGGAAAGUUAGUGGCAAACGGGUGAGUAACGCGUAGGCAACCUGCCCUUCAGAUGGGGACAACACUUCGAAAGAGGUGCUAAUACCGAAUGACGUAUCCAUUCCGCAUGGAGAGGAUACCAAAGGCCGGGCAACCGGUCACUGGAGGAUGGGCCUGCGUCUGAUUAGCUAGUUGGUGGGGUAACGGCCUACCAAGGCGAUGAUCAGUAGCCGGUCUGAGAGGAUGAACGGCCACAUUGGGACUGAGACACGGCCCAGACUCCUACGGGAGGCAGCAGUGGGGAAUCUUCCGCAAUGGACGAAAGUCUGACGGAGCAACGCCGCGUGAACGAUGACGGCCUCGGUGUAAGUUACUGUUAUACGGUACGAAUAGGCGUAGCGGUCG
This 448-nucleotide ribosomal RNA is filed under the name uncultured bacterium. RNAcentral's name for it is "bacterial SSU rRNA". It matches the Rfam family "Bacterial small subunit ribosomal RNA", at positions 28 to 464 of the family's 1533-position model. The record is from RNAcentral.